UCACAGUGAUGACGGUUUUGUCCAACCAUUCGCAGUUUCUACCAGAAAGGUUUUCCUUGCAUGAUGGCAACUCCUUCCUUGGAUGUCUGAGUGA
This is a small nucleolar RNA of Amblyraja radiata (thorny skate), 94 nucleotides long. RefSeq annotates it as small nucleolar RNA SNORD14. The record is from RefSeq and is a predicted model, not a curated record. The transcript has a single exon. Lineage: Eukaryota; Metazoa; Chordata; Chondrichthyes; Rajiformes; Rajidae.